Molecule: unclassified non-coding RNA, 401 nt
Filed under: soil metagenome
Description: partial contains 5.8S ribosomal RNA, internal transcribed spacer 2, and large subunit ribosomal RNA
Rfam family: 5.8S ribosomal RNA (bases 1-121)
Source: RNAcentral
GAUGAAGAACGCAGUGAAAUGCGAUAAGUAAUGUGAAUUGCAGAAUUCAGUGAAUCAUCGAAUCUUUGAACGCACCUUGCGCCCUUUGGCCAUUCCGAAGGGCAUGCCUGUUUGAGUAUCAUGAACACCUCAACUCUCAUGGCUCGCCAUGAUGAGCUUGGAUUUGGGGGUCUUGCUGGCCUGUGGUCGGCUCCUCUCAAAUGGAUCAGCUUGCCAGUGUUUGGUGGCAUCACAGGUGUGAUAACUAUCUGCGCUUGUGGUUUUCCAUCAGAUAACCUUCAGUGAUGGAGGUUCGCUGGAGCUCAUAAACGUCUCCCCUAAGCGGGGACAGCCCUUUGAAUGUUUGAUCUCAAAUCAGGUAGGACUACCCGCUCAACUUAAGCAUCUCAAUAAGCGGAGGA